Molecule: ribosomal RNA, 504 nt
Filed under: uncultured bacterium
Lineage: Bacteria
Description: bacterial SSU rRNA
Rfam family: Bacterial small subunit ribosomal RNA
Source: RNAcentral
AACGAACGCUGGCGGCGUGCCUAACACAUGCAAGUCGAACGAGAAUUGGGGGCUUGCUCCCAUAGUAAAGUGGCGAACGGGUGAGUAAUACGUAGGUAACCUACCCCGGGGAGGGGAACAACAUUUCGAAAGGAGUGCUAAUGCCCCGUAAGACCACAGAUUCUGCGGAAUCAGUGGCAAAAGGUGACCUCUUCAUGAAAGUUAUCGCCUUGGGACGGUCCUGCGCACCAUUAGCUUGUUGGUAGGGUAAAAGCCUACCAAGGCCGAGAUGGUUAGCUGGUCUGAGAGGAUGGCCAGCCACACUGGAACUGAAAUACGGUCCAGACUCCUACGGGAGGCAGCAGUGGGGAAUAUUGCGCAAUGGGGGAAACCCUGACGCAGCAACGCCGCGUGAGUGAUGAAGGCCUUCGGGUCGUAAAGCUCUGUCAGGCGGAACGAAAAAUACCGGGCUAAUACCCCGAGUAUCUGACGGUACCGCCAGAGGAAGCACCGGCUAACUCCGUG